This 446-nucleotide ribosomal RNA is filed under the name uncultured bacterium. RNAcentral describes it as "partial 16S ribosomal RNA". It matches the Rfam family "Bacterial small subunit ribosomal RNA", at positions 330 to 792 of the family's 1533-position model. The record is from RNAcentral.
UCCAGACUCCUACGGGAGGCAGCAGUGGGGGAUAUUGCACAAUGGGGGGAACCCUGAUGCAGCGACGCCGCGUGGGUGAAGGAGCGUUUCGGCGCGUAAAGCCCUAUCGGCAGGGAAGAAGGAGGACGGUACCUGACUAAGAAGCCCCGGCUAACUACGUGCCAGCAGCCGCGGUAAUACGUAGGGGGCAAGCGUUAUCCGGAUUUACUGGGUGUAAAGGGGGCGCAGACGGCAGCGCAAGCCAGGAGUGAAAGCCCGGGGCCCAACCCCGGGACUGCUCUUGGAACUGCGCGGCUGGAGUGCAGGAGGGGCAGGCGGAAUCCCUGGUGUAGCGGUGAAAUGCGUAGAUAUCAGGAGGAACACCGGUGGCGAAGGCGGCCUGCUGGACUGCGACUGACGUUGAGGCCCGAAAGCGUGGGGAGCAAACAGGAUUAGAUACCCCCGUA